RNAcentral lists this ribosomal RNA (250 nucleotides) under uncultured prokaryote. RNAcentral describes it as "partial 16S ribosomal RNA". It matches the Rfam family "Bacterial small subunit ribosomal RNA", at positions 524 to 773 of the family's 1533-position model. The record is from RNAcentral.
UACGGAGGAUGCAAGCGUUAUCCAGAUUUAUUGGGUUUAAAGGGUGCGUAGGCGGGUGAUUAAGCGUGAGGUGAAAUGCUCCGGCUCAACCGGAGAACUGUUUUGUGAACUGGUUGUCUGGAAUGUUUUUGUUGUGGGAGGAAUGUGUGGUGUAGCGGUGAAAUGUAUAGAGAUCACACAGAACACCGAUUGCGAAGGCAUCUCACGAAGGGGUGAUUGACGCUGAGGCACGAAAGCGUGGGGAUCAAAC